Molecule: ribosomal RNA, 820 nt
Filed under: Megalopsalis sp. MCZ IZ 129544
Lineage: Eukaryota; Metazoa; Arthropoda; Arachnida; Opiliones; Neopilionidae
Description: partial large subunit ribosomal RNA
Rfam family: Eukaryotic large subunit ribosomal RNA
Source: RNAcentral
AGCCCGGACGGCAACUUGGAUGCGAGUGCCAAGUGGGCCACUUUUGGUAAGCAGAACUGGCGCUGUGGGAUGAACCAAACGCCCGGUUAAGGGGCCCGAUGCGAGACGCUCAUGAGAUCCCAUGAAAGGUGUUGGUUGCUAUAGACAGCAGGACGGUGGCCAUGGAAGUCGGAAUCCGCUAAGGAGUGUGUAACAACUCACCUGCCGAAGCAACUAGCCCUGAAAAUGGAUGGCGCUUCAGCGUCGACCCUAUACCGAGCCGCCGCGGCCGAAAAGCCUCGUGUUUUAAGCCGCGGUGAGUAGGAGGGGCGCGGAGGCGAGCGUCGAAGGUGCCGGGCGUAAGCCCGCCUGGAGCCGCCUCCGGCGCAGAUCUUGGUGGUAGUAGCAAAUACUCAAGUGAGAACCUUGAGGACUGAGGUGGAGAAGGGUUCCAUGUGAACAGCAGUUGAACAUGGGUCAGUCGGUCCUAAGGGAUAGGAGAAAUCCGUUCCGAGGCGGGACCUCUCUAAAGCAAGUCCCGCUGAUGACCGAAAGGGAAUCGGGUUAAUAUUCCCGAACCCGGACACGGAGAUCGUCCUCUUCGGAGGUACAUUGCGGUAACGCAAACGAGCUCGAAGACGUCGACGGGAGCACCGGGAAGAGUUAUCUUUUCUUUGUAAGGAUUCGACUCCCUGGAAUCGGCUCGCCCGGAGAUAGGGAUGGUGUUUCCGUAAAGCACCGCGCCUCUUGCGGUGUCCGGAUCGCUCCCGUCGGCCCUUGAAAAUUCGAGUGAGAGAUAGUGAUUUUCGUGCCGGACCGUACCCAUAUCCGCAGCAGGUCU